Molecule: transfer RNA, 74 nt
Organism: Ferroglobus placidus DSM 10642
Lineage: Archaea; Methanobacteriati; Methanobacteriota; Archaeoglobi; Archaeoglobales; Archaeoglobaceae
Rfam family: tRNA
About the family: Transfer RNA (tRNA) molecules are approximately 80 nucleotides in length. Their secondary structure includes four short double-helical elements and three loops (D, anti-codon, and T loops). Further hydrogen bonds mediate the characteristic L-shaped molecular structure. tRNAs have two regions of fundamental functional importance: the anti-codon, which is responsible for specific mRNA codon recognition, and the 3' end, to which the tRNAs corresponding amino acid is attached (by aminoacyl-tRNA synthetases). tRNAs cope with the degeneracy of the genetic code in two manners: having more than one tRNA (with a specific anti-codon) for a particular amino acid; and 'wobble' base-pairing, i.e. permitting non-standard base-pairing at the 3rd anti-codon position.
Source: Rfam
GGGCCGGUAGCUUAGCCAGGUAGAGCGCGGGACUCUUAAUCCCGCGGUCGGGGGUUCAAAUCCCUCCCGGCCCG